GUAGCAAUAGUAAUAAUAGUAGUAGAUAGUAGUAGUUAUAGUACAAGUAGGUAGUAGUAGUAGUAGUAAUAGUAAUAGGUAGUAGUAGGUAGUAGUAGGCAGUAGUAGUAAUAGUAGUAGGUAGUAGUAGUAAUAGUAGAAGGAGUAGUAGUAGUAAUAGUAGCAGGUAGUAGUAGGUAGUAGUAGUAGUAGUAAUAGGUAGUUGUAGGCAGUAGUAGUAAUAGUAGUAGUAGUAGGUAGUAGAGUAGUAGUAGUAGCUGGUAGUAGUAUUAGUAGUAGUAGUAGUAGUUAUAGUAGCAAGUAGUAGCAGUAGUAGGUAGUAGUAGUAAUAGUAGUAGUAGUACUACUAGUAGUAGUCGGUUUAGUAGGUGUAGUAGUAGUAGGUAGAAAUAGUAAUAGUAGUAGUAGCAGGUGUAGUAGUAGUAGUAGUAGUAGGUAUAGUAGGCGUAGUAGUAGUAAUAGGUAGUAGUAGGUUGUAGGAGUAAUAGUAGUAGUAGUAGUAGUAGUAGUAGUAAUACUAGUAAUAGUAGUAGUAGUAGUAGUAGUAGUAGUAGUAAUAAUAGUAGUAGUAGUAGUAGUAGUAGUAAUAGUAGUAGUAGUAGUAGUAAUAGUAGUAGUAGUAGUAGUAGUAGUAAUAAUAGUAGUAGUAAUAGUAGUAGUAGUAGUAGUAAUAAUAGUAGUAGUAAUAAUAGUAGUAGUAGUAGUAGUAAUAAUAGCAGUAGUGAUAAUAAUAGUAGUAGUAGUAGUAGUAGUAAUAGCAGUAGUAAUAAUAGUAGUAGUAUUAGUAGUAGUAGUAAUAAUAGCAGUAGUAAUAAUAAUAGUAGUAGUAGUAGUAGUAGUAAUAAUAGUAGUAGUAGUAGUAGUAGUAGUAAUA
This is a long non-coding RNA of Ictalurus punctatus (channel catfish), 874 nucleotides long. Lineage: Eukaryota; Metazoa; Chordata; Actinopteri; Siluriformes; Ictaluridae. The record is from Ensembl.